UGUGGGAAAUGUAGGCGUUAAAAAUGGACCCUUAACUGGUGGAUCAGAUAUUUAUCCAAACAUCAUAGCGAUGGGUUUCCCUGCGGAGCGUCUGGAGGGAGUCUACAGGAACAACAUCGACGACGUCGUCCGGUUUUUAGACUCGAAGCACAAGAAUCACUACAAGAUCUACAAUCUAUGUGCAGAGCGACACUACGACACGUCAAAGUUCAACUGUCGGGGUGAGUCAUCCACGCGGCCGC
This is a non-coding RNA of Plectropomus leopardus (leopard coralgrouper), 242 nucleotides long. Lineage: Eukaryota; Metazoa; Chordata; Actinopteri; Perciformes; Serranidae. The record is from RefSeq and is a predicted model, not a curated record.